RNAcentral lists this unclassified non-coding RNA (224 nucleotides) under plant metagenome. RNAcentral describes it as "partial contains small subunit ribosomal RNA, internal transcribed spacer 1, and 5.8S ribosomal RNA". The record is from RNAcentral.
UCUCCGUUGGUGAACCAGCGGAGGGAUCAUUACAGGACUCGCAAGACUCCUUCACCCUGUGAACCUCACUACAAGCACGUUGCUUCGGCGGGUGUCCCGGCGGGGGUUUUCCCUCGGCGGGGCGCACAGCCCGCCGGCAGCCUACUAUACUCUGUCUCUUUGCGUUGGCAUCUCGAGAAAAAACAAACAAGUUAAAACUUUCAACAACGGAUCUCUUGGUUCUG